This 396-nucleotide ribosomal RNA is filed under the name uncultured bacterium. RNAcentral's name for it is "bacterial SSU rRNA". It matches the Rfam family "Bacterial small subunit ribosomal RNA", at positions 29 to 424 of the family's 1533-position model. The record is from RNAcentral.
AUUAAACGCUGGCGGCAUGCCUUACACAUGCAAGUCGAACGGCAGCACGGGGGCAACCCUGGUGGCGAGUGGCGGACGGGUGAGUAAAGCAUCGGAACGUAUCCUGGAGUGGGGGAUAACGUAGCGAAAGUUACGCUAAUACCGCAUAUUCUGUGAGCAGGAAAGCAGGGGAUCGCAAGACCUUGCGCUCUGGGAGCGGCCGAUGUCGGAUUAGCUAGUUGGUGGGGUAAAGGCCUACCAAGGCGACGAUCCGUAGCGGGUCUGAGAGGAUGAUCCGCCACACUGGGACUGAGACACGGCCCAGACUCCUACGGGAGGCAGCAGUGGGGAAUUUUUGGGACAAUGGGCGCAAGCCUGAUCCAGCCAUGCCGCGUGAGUGAAGAAGGCCUUCGGGUU